GUUACAGACCGAUUGGACUUGAUGCUUCGUUAUGUGUUUCUUAUUUACAUAUCAAGCGAACAAAUUACCUGCAAAACUGUAAUGCAUUCACAAUUGACCCUACCAGUUGUUAAAAAGUUUUACGACACCGAAAUACUGAACACAAUAACAGGUAACGUAUCGAAAGAAAUGCGAUAAAUUAUUGUCUGAUGCUGAUUAAUAUUCGAUGACUGAGAGCAGUGAUUCUGUGCCUGGAUGUCAUGUACAACAUUUACAAAAGAUUAUCACAACAUCGAUUUGUUCCUUUAUCGACGUAAACUGGUUGGCCAUCCCUGUAAAAAUUGAACAGAUACAAUGAUACUUUAACGAGAACGUUAAAGACAUCGGGGGAUACCUUUAAGGGGGAAUGAUCCAUCGUCAUAAUGGAGGUAAUUCCGGUGAAAGUCCAUUGUCUUCCGGUAAAAACUGAUUUACUUGUGUAACAAAUAGCAUAGGAACCCGCAAACAGAAGAAGUUGGUACAUAUUUAACCACCAGUUUUCAAGAAAUUGAAUUUUGAUGUUAAAAAAAACCCACUUUUCCCCAGAAAUUAAAAAAAUAUAUAUGAUGACUAAAAA
Long non-coding RNA from Ostrea edulis (European flat oyster), 595 nucleotides. RefSeq lists it as uncharacterized. The record is from RefSeq and is a predicted model, not a curated record. The transcript is spliced from 2 exons. NCBI's taxonomy places the organism in Eukaryota, Metazoa, Mollusca, Bivalvia, Ostreida, Ostreidae.